GGACAAAGUGUUUGGCGACAUCAACCGCC
Molecule: small RNA, 29 nt
Filed under: Bombyx mori (domestic silkworm)
Lineage: Eukaryota; Metazoa; Arthropoda; Insecta; Lepidoptera; Bombycidae
Description: ovarian small RNA-17231
Source: RNAcentral